GACGAACGCUGGCGGCGUGCUUAACACAUGCAAGUCGAACGGAAAGGCCCUGCUCUUGUGGGGUGCUCGAGUGGCGAACGGGUGAGUAACACGUGAGUAACCUGCCCUUGACUUUGGGAUAACUUUAGGAAACUGGGGCUCAUACAGGAUAGGAGCUCCUGCUGCAUGGUGGGGGUUGGAAAGUUUCGGCGGUUGGGGAUGGACUCGCGGCUUAUCAGCCUGUUGGUGGGGUAGUGGCUUACCAAGGUUUUGACGGGUAGCCGGCCUGAGAGGGUGACCGGCCACAUUGGGACUGAGAUACGGCCCAGACUCCUACGGGAGGCAGCAGUGGGAAGUAUUGCACAAUGGGCGGAAGCCUGAUGCAGCAACGCCGCGUGCGGGAUAACGGCCUUCGGGGUGUAAACCACUUUCGCCUGUGACGAAGCGUGAGUGACGGUAAUGAGUAAAGAAGCACCGGCUAACUACGUG
Molecule: ribosomal RNA, 468 nt
Filed under: uncultured bacterium
Lineage: Bacteria
Description: partial 16S ribosomal RNA
Rfam family: Bacterial small subunit ribosomal RNA
Source: RNAcentral